GCCCCCGUAGCUCAGCCGGAUAGAGCGUCGGUUUCCUAAACCGCAGGCCGCGUGUUCAAAUCUCGCCGGGGGCACCA
RNAcentral lists this transfer RNA (77 nucleotides) under Sphingomonas hominis. RNAcentral's name for it is "tRNA-Arg". It matches the Rfam family "tRNA". Rfam says of the family: Transfer RNA (tRNA) molecules are approximately 80 nucleotides in length. Their secondary structure includes four short double-helical elements and three loops (D, anti-codon, and T loops). Lineage: Bacteria; Pseudomonadati; Pseudomonadota; Alphaproteobacteria; Sphingomonadales; Sphingomonadaceae. The record is from RNAcentral.